GUGAUUGGUCCAGGGCUGGGUAAAGGGGGUGGAGCACAGGCAGGGUUGGAAGCAGCAGGCGAUGGUCAGAGAUGCUUAAAGAAGCAGGCCAUCAAUAACACUGCAGUGCGUGGGCCUCAGCACUGACGUCACCGGAUCCCAUUGAAGAGGUGAUGCAAGAGAGAGUGGUGGCUGGAUUCGUGUUUUCAGAUGCUUAUUCUAGCAACAUUUUAGGAGAGGAUAUGCUUGAUAUUAUGGAAGAAAACAGCAGUGAAGCUCUUCAGUCAUCAAAGAGAGGAGCCAUUAAGGAAUGAGCAUGAAGCCUUUAAAUCUGAUACAGUGAGUAAAAGGAGAGAAGAUAAAUGAAGUCCAGGUUAUUAAACCUUGGAGGCAGCUAAUAGAAGCUCAACUCUUCAUCUGGAGGAACAGCUUACAGCUUGCAGUCAGGCUUAUAUCCCUGCCUCUGGACACUGGAAGACUGGAAGCUUUCUCUGGGACUCCAAUGUAAAGAAGAGAACCAAAGAUGCUGGUGGAUUUCCUCACUCCUAAGACAUCAAGAUCAGCCACAGGAACAAAGGUCACCACCGUGCCAGGGCUCAUGGAUCUGGAACUAUGCAGAAGAGGAGGCAGGAAGAUUUUAAGAGCCAGAGGAGAUGAAUGACUCCAAGGAAACAGUGUCUUCCAGACUCAACAGUGCUGUGGGAUGGUCUGUAUGUCAAAUUGCUCUGAUUGGUCAAUAAAUAAAACACUGAUUGGUCAGUGGCUAGGCAGGAAGUAUAGGCAGGACUAACAGAGAGGAGAAAAGAAAGAACAGGAAGGCAGAAGGAGUCACUGCCAGCCGCCACCAGGACAAGCAGCAUGUGAAGAUGCCAGUAAGCCAUGAGCCACGUGGCAAGGUAUAGAUUUAUAGAAAUGGAUUAAUUUAAGAUAUAAGAACAGUUAGCAAGAAGCCUGCCAUGGCCAUACAGUUUGUAAGCAAUAUAAGUCUCUGUGUUUACUUGGUUGGGUCUGAGCAGCUGUGGGACUGGCGGGUGACAAAGAUUUGUCCUGACUGUGGGCAAGGCAGGAAAACUCUAGCUACAAAUGGCACCCAAUGUGUUGGCAAGACUUUCCACCUAAAACCUGAGAAAAAGAUUCUAAAACGAAGCUAAAAACAGUUCCUAGUUGUUUCUCUCAAGUUAGUGGCAGCCUGCAUGUUAGAGCUGCUAUGGCAGGUUCCUGGCAUGUGCACUCGACUUGCAGUAUGGCGGGAAUGAGGCCUCUGCAAGUGGCACAUUAAGUUGCGUGGUGGAUUUAGCCUUUGCUAGUACAAAACAAAAAGAGGUUUCUGGGCUACAUGCUGCUUUGAUAGAAGCAUAGACCCACUAUUUCUGAGAGUUGAUGGCUCCCAGAGCUGGCAAAAAAACAGUACCACCACCAAUUUGGGAAGCUGAAGUGGGCGGAGCCAGCAGCCACAGCUCCAUUUCAGUCUUAGAAUGGUGCAGUUUAAAGCAAUUGGCUCAAGGAAAUACAAAAAAUAAGCCACGUAAAGAUGGCUACCACACAGAGAAUCUGGAUUAUGUUCUCUUUGAUAUUUGUAACUGAAGAAAAACAUUUGAUUGCAAAAGCUGUUGAGUUAUGCCAAAAUGUAUAUUUUAAAGGGACCUUGACUUCAAAAUUUGGAUGUAAGGAUAUGUUACUUUGGAAAGGAGGCUCUGCUUUUGUUUCCACAGAAAGCCAGAGGCUAUGGAUUUGUUCCAGAUUAAGAUACAUCAGGUUUGACCAACCAAGACCCCCUGAAAGGUCUCUGAUGACACCAAGGCCCAGAUGAUCCAACAUCCAGAACCAUUUCAAGGCAACUGGCUCAGAUGAUACACCCUCACGGACUACUCCAUAAUCCUAAAAUUUUCUUUGUGUCCCCAUAUGAUACAGUGCCCCCCCAGCAGGAAGUAGUAAGAGAAGCUAUGUCCAAAUUCCCUUGCCCUAUGGGCAAGGCAAGAAAACUCUAGCUACACAACAGGACUGAUGCACAUAUGAACUCAGAGACUAUGGCAGUAUACAGGGCCUGCAGAUUCAAGCCAUACAGGGUCGCAGUGCUGAGGUGUGCAAGUCACACUGUCUCCUACCCCUCACCAAGAAGCUAUCUGCAAUGGAUAUUCACUGUCAAAGGAAAAAUUAGUUUUCUCCAAUGGAGUCUCACUGGGUAUAUUAACCAGAGAGUAGGCCCCAUAGCAAGAAGUAGUUAUCUGGCCAGCGCAAAAGGAAAUCAGUGGUAUUUUUGCACUCUUUGUCUCAUAUCGCUUUGUUUAGAUACUUUUUUUUUGUCUUAUUGGUCUUUUGCUUAUAUAUUUUGGUUUCCAUUUUUUUCGGGGGGGGAAAUGUGUAUGUGUGUGUGUUUCUUGGGUUUUGUUGUUUUUUUUCUGUUUUUUAAAGAGAGGAAGGGUAUGGAGUUGGGUAGGUGCAGAAAUGAGGGAGUCUGGGAGGAGCAAAGCAUGAUCAGAAUAUAGUUUUAAACUUUCUUCAAUUAAAAUCAGUUUAUUAUUAUUGCUGUGUAGUAUAUUGCAGGAGUAUGGGGCACACAUAUCAAAUGGCAUGCAUGCAGAAAUCAGAGAACAACUUUGUGGAAUAAGUUCUCUGUUUCUACCUUUCUAUGGUUCUUAAGAUCAAACUUAUAAGUCAUCAUGCCUACAUAGAGCAAGGGCUUUAACCCUUAAGCCACCUCACGGGACCCUACUUUUGCAAUUUUUUUGAAAAAAAAAAAGAAGUUUCUGCUGCUGCUGCAGAUGCUGCUGCUGUUGCUGUAAUAGAAACUGAAACAGAGAACAGGGCAUGGAGAUGAGUGCUGCUGGAAAUGCAACUUUAAUGAGGUGGCAAUUAGCCAAGAUGGUCCUAAGCUAUCAAGUAUCUGGAUAAUGAUCAGUUAUGGCUUGGGUAUCAUCUGUAAGGACCAGUGUAGGCAGGCUACAUUUCCACCAUGCUGCAAGAUAAACCUUGGCAGGCAGCCAUAGGAAUCAAAGAGGUUUGGUAAUGUCCUAAAUGUAGCAGGCAAAUGGAAAGCCACAUUAGUGUUUGCAUGGAAAUGCCUGGGAAGACUGUAUGUCAAACACUAUUUAGGUGUUGGGACCCAGUAGGUCAUAAGAGGGGACAUAGCCCUUGUCCUAGUAGACUGAGUAAUCUAAAAAGAAACAUCAAAUUCAUACUUGCAAUCAAAGAAUGAAAAACAAAAAUGUGAUGAAUAACAGGGUUUGAAGUAGAGCUGUAGUUUGCACAUAGAAGCACCAUCCUAAAUCAGUGAUACAUGGCAUUAAAGAAGUAAGGGAGGAGCGGCUGAGCAAAAUGAAUAUGAGUAACAUACAUGAUUUCACCAUCCUUCAGGGAGCUCAGUCCUGGAAUGAGAUGCAAAUCUCCUGUUAGCGUCAGUUUCAAAUACAUUCAUUUUUUUUCCUCUUGCUACAUAUUCAAAAUAGGUCCAUGGUGUACAGUUUUUUGUGUGAGUGAAUAGCCUCAAAGAGUGCUGUUUAUACCAUGGUCCAUAUUCAUGACACCUCUUGGGUACAUAACCUAGAAAGCUACAAUAGGCCUAGAUUAUUUUCACUGAACCUAGACUCCAAAAUAGGCUAGCCAUUUAAAAAGUAUGUACACACACACACACACACACACACACACACACACACACACACACACACGGGGGGCGGGGGGAGACAUAUAUCAUUUAUGUCUAUGUUAAAAUGAUUGCCUGUGCUGGAUUUAAUGGAGACAGCUUAUCAGUUUCCACUGUUCCCAAGGAUAUUUUCAAGGGUAAUUCUGGCUAGUGGAAUUUUCAUAAUAUGCACUGACCACAGAAUCAAACCCCUGUGUCAAUGGGGUUGGAUGUGAGUGAGAUAUGGAUGGCACUAGAGAGUCUACUCACUAUGUACGGUUAUUUUAUUCACAUGCAGAAAGAUGAGAACUUGACUAGAAAGACAGGGGAGAGUGGCUAGCAGUGAUGUCUGUGUGGGAGCUGAAGCAUAGAAGCUUGCACUGUGGUUUAUGAACAGAUCCUUGGGCAGAGAAAGAGCAAGAGGGGAGAGCCUAAUUUGCACACCAACUACACAAACUAUCAGACCUUCAAGGCUCCUUUAUUUACCAACUCAACCACCCUGAAACAACACCCAGUGUCUUCAUUGGUCCUUCAGACCCCAAGUACCUCCUCUUUUGAUUCACAACACUUAUUUCUUGUGCUUACAGGGCAGCUGAUCAUGUAUCAUCAUUACAUUUCCAGAAGCUUUUGUUCGUUCCUAGCCAAAUGUGCAGUACCAUGCACUUUUCUGGACACGGAAACACUAAGAACCCUGCAUCUUUCAUUCUUUAAAAGAGCCAAAUUGCUGGGGGCAAGAAUCAGGAUGGAAGUGACUAUUUGAAUUCAUCUCCCUAGGACUUCUAAUUUCAUGGAAAUUGGAAUAAUAGUGAGGAAAUUGCUUUAGAUGAGAGUGUCUGCUCCUGCUUUUGAUUUAAACUAAUCUUCACAUGCUAAAAAUGAAAUGCAAAUUUUAGGAAAGUCAAGGUUUCACUUAGAACAGAAAGGCCAUCCUUAAACUUGACAAAGUUAAAUGAAAUGCUGCUUGAUGACUCUAAACAGCAAAACACAAAUCAGAAAGCAAAGAAUAAAAGUCAAAACAAAACAAUUCUGUAACUGAAGACCACAGUAGAAAAUCAACCCAUCUUAGAUAAAAUUCAAAGUUAUCAUCACAAGUCUCAGAGAAGAGGCAUGUUUUCCUGAGUCUCCUUCAAUGGUAACACUACAGAUGAUCACUUUCUCCACAGCCUAUGAGCACUUCACAGACAGACCAAGUGUGCAACUACAGUGCAGAUGCUGGAGAUCUGCAAUGCUCUCACAUGCUACACCAACACAUACUGACUAAAACAGCAAGAAAACUGAUGCAGUAGGAAUAUUUUCAUCAGCAUCCAUGUUGAGUUUCCCUGAACUGUCAAAUCUGGCCAGACUAGAUUUGUUGUAACAUCAUUCUCUGGAGUAUUUUUGAUCCCUUGAUGCAGGGGACUGAGGAAGUGAGGUGUUUGCUACUGCUGCUGCUGCUGCUGUGGAGAACAGCUGGCAGGAAUCUGAGAACUGGGCAUCUCCAGAUGUGCUUACAGGUGUUACCUGGGGACUUGUUAGAAACAUCAUUGCUCUGGUCCCAUCCAGAACUCCUGAUUCACAAGUUUUAAGCAGGAGAGGGGUAGCAAGGAGUUUUAUGAUGUAUGUUCUCUGGGGAGUUCUUAUAUUGGCCCUAAUUUGAGGACUGAAGAGAAAAUCCAGUCCCUUCAGUUUAUAGAGGAAAGUAGAGGUCCCCAAAGGAAACUUAGUUGUUUUCCCAGAAUCAUUUUUAUACUUUUUAGUUAAUUAAAUAUGCUAAAUUUAGCACUUUUUGGCUUUGUGAUGUUUCACCUUACUGAGCUUCAGUUUCUUUAUCUGUAAGAUGAGAAAAAUAAUACAGUUUCCUUGUACUUAAAAUAAAUGGAUACUGUGUCUAAUAGACAUGUAAUAUGUGUGUAUAUAUGUAUAUCAACUAUAUAUUAUUCAUAUGCAAUAAAACUAGAAUUCUCUGAGAAAAUUAAUUCUCUGAGAAACAGGUAUGUAUAUAACCAGCACCUUAAAUAAGCAAGGCUUUUUUGUAAAGCAAGAACUUGCUGGAAAUGAGAGAUGUUUCACAUCUCUAAUCCUGGUACUGGAGAAGCAAAGACAGGGAGAUCACUACAAGUUCAAGAUCAGCUAGGACUUGCAUAGCAAGACUCUGUCUCAACCAGUCAAACCAAUAUGCUUGAGUAUGGUAACGUUUGUCCAUGAUUCACAUUUCUGUGCCUGUGGUGAGAAGUUUGGAGCACAGAGGCUACAUCCUUCACUUAGACAAGUGCCUGACAAGCCUACAGGAAAUUCUAACAUCAAGAUGUUUUGGAAAAUGAUUCCUGGGAGACCUAAACCAUCAGAAGAGGACUCAGCUGGUGAGAAAGGGAUCUCAGUAAACAUGGCCAUCAACAAAACACUUGUUUGGAGCUCUGUAAUCCUUGGUGUAUACCCCUAGGACCUACAUUUUCUGAAUAGUUUAGUGUAUCUACAAGAGUAA
Molecule: long non-coding RNA, 6059 nt
Organism: Peromyscus californicus insignis
Lineage: Eukaryota; Metazoa; Chordata; Mammalia; Rodentia; Cricetidae
Exons: 5
Source: RefSeq, a predicted model, not a curated record